AGCCAAUAGGAGCUCAGAGAGAGACCAGAGAGAUAUCCCCCCUUCACUGGUACAGCUGACUGAACUACUGGGGGACAAAGUGAACACACUCUGAAAGACUGUCUCACUAGACGAACAGCCUGAAAGAGGUUCAACAACAUCUGGAGCACCUGAGCUGAGUGACUUGGCAGGCCAGAGGAACGAGGUUGAGACACUCCUGAACUAAGUGACUUGGCAGGCCAGAGGAACGAGGUUGAGACACUCCUGAACUAAGUGACUUGGCAGGCCAGAGAAACGAGGUUGAGACGCUCCUGAGCUGAGUGACUUGGCAGGCCAGAGGAACGAGGUUGAGACGCUCCUGAGCUGAGUGACUUGGCAGGCCAGAGGAACGAGGUUGAGACGCUCCUGAGCUGAGUGACUUGGCAGGCCAGAGAAACGAGGUUGAGACGCUCC
Long non-coding RNA from Oncorhynchus tshawytscha (Chinook salmon), 432 nucleotides. The record is from Ensembl. Lineage: Eukaryota; Metazoa; Chordata; Actinopteri; Salmoniformes; Salmonidae.